This 1608-nucleotide long non-coding RNA is filed under the name Panax ginseng (ginseng). RNAcentral describes it as "long non-coding RNA (PGIN_LNC000525)". Lineage: Eukaryota; Viridiplantae; Streptophyta; Magnoliopsida; Apiales; Araliaceae. The record is from RNAcentral.
CUUUGUAUGUUAGUAUAACCUAAUCUAAAGAACAUGAUAAUAUGUUGGACAUGUAAUCAGAUGUUAUAUCAGGUUGUUAAUGUUCAUAUGGUUAAAUGAAAUGAUAAUUUGAUAAGUUGUAAAAGGACUAAAAUGUGAUGCUCAUAAGAAGAUGUAAUGUUGUUGAAACUUAAGAUUCGAGACUUCGGUCUUGUAAUAUGUGAUUUGUGGUAGUAAGCAAAACUUAAACUAAGUUAACAAGCUAUACUAAAAGUGGGAACUAAACUUAUAAAGUUAAUAUUAGUGUAACUAAUGAGUGUUGUUAAUACAUAUGGUAUGUGUGUAGGAUUUGUGGUGAACGUGGGUAGUGAUCGUUUAACCUACGCACGAGGCAAGUUCAUAAACCUUAUUUCUUUACAUUAAGCAAGUUCUCUAACCGUAAAAUUUAUUUGAGUUUAUCCUACUUUGAUUACAAUUAUGCAAGUUUACUAUCCUAUAUUAUUUAUAAUUUACGCAAGUUCUUGAAUUCUGUUGAGCAAAGUUUUUAACUUUGUUUCCUUAUUGGAAAUUGCAACCUUAGCAUACCAUUUUGUUCAAGUAAGGUUUAUUAUAUCUUUUCAAUGAUUUGAAAUUUAUUCUUAAAGCAUGACUUUGAUGCAUUACAUUAUUCAUGUAUGGUUUAUAACCACUUUGUAAUACGUCGUUGUUGAACCCUUGUAUUGUUAUUAAACUUUUGAAUCAACUAAUCCUUAGUUGAUGUACGUUGAACUCUAAAUUACCUUUAAAACUUUUCCAAACCAAACUUCCUUUGGUGUGGACUCGUAUGUUAAAACUUAGAUGAACAACCCUAUUAUAGGAGAUUAUUUACGCAGAAGCGUUAAGAUGUUUGUGCACAAUACAGAGGACGAAGGGCUGACCCCCCUAAGUACGAGAAAGAUGGUCCACAUAGUCUAACGAUUGUUAAAGGUUGAAGUAGAAAUACCUACAACCUGGGACAUAGUUCAUGGUCUUGUGACCCUCAGAUAAAUUCUAGUUUCAGUUCUUGUUUAUUAGUAAAGAGAAAAUUAUUCAAUGCAGUUAAGCUUAUUCAUUGCCAACUAUUAUGUUUUUUUCAAGUGAGCAUUCGUUAUGCUCACUCUUGCAUACAUAUCACCAUUGCAGCUAAGGUUGAGAAGGUUGACGAGGCAACCACCAGUAAAGGAAAAGGCAAGAUGAACAAGUGUUAAAGACUUGUUAUUUGUUUUAGAUUAUGUAUUCAGACUUAAUUUUUAAUUAUGUAAUGUAAUUAGUUAAUUUUUUGCAUUUGAUGAAUGUUUUAAGGUUAGAUAACCUGUGAUUUAUUGGUUUAAAUUAUGUAACCCUUUAAUGGGAAGAUUUAUUGCUUAAGUUUUAUUUAAUUUGGAUAGUUAGAAAUGAAUGUUUUGACAGUGAACACCAAAUCAUGUGGGAAUGAAGUACCCAAAUUUGGGGGUGUCACAACAAUGAUCCAUAACAUCUACUUGAAACAUGUGGUUGGACUUUUUUAUCUAUGUUUAUUUGGAUGGCAUGUACUUUAAUAAACAAUAAUAAAAGUAUUGAUUUUUCUUUAGCUUAUGGUACACACAAUAUUUUUUAAAAAUUUAAGGCAAC